AGCGAACGCUGGCGGCAGGCUUAACACAUGCAAGUCGAACGGGCAUCUUCGGAUGUCAGUGGCAGACGGGUGGGUAACACGUGGGAACGUACCCUUCGGUUCGGAAUAACUCAGGGAAACUUGAGCUAAUACCGGAUACGCCCUUUUGGGGAAAGGUUUACUGCCGAAGGAUCGGCCCGCGUCUGAUUAGCUUGUUGGUGGGGUAACGGCCUACCAAGGCGACGAUCAGUAGCUGGUCUGAGAGGAUGAUCAGCCACACUGGGACUGAGACACGGCCCAGACUCCUACGGGAGGCAGCAGUGGGGAAUAUUGGACAAUGGGCGCAAGCCUGAUCCAGCCAUGCCGCGUGAGUGAUGAAGGCCUUAGGGUUGUAAAGCUCUUUUGUCCGGGACGAUAAUGACGGUACCGGAAGAAUAAGCCCCGGCUAACUUCGUG
This 435-nucleotide ribosomal RNA is filed under the name uncultured bacterium. RNAcentral describes it as "partial 16S ribosomal RNA". It matches the Rfam family "Bacterial small subunit ribosomal RNA", at positions 29 to 507 of the family's 1533-position model. The record is from RNAcentral.